GAUGAACGCUGGCGGCGUGCCUAAUACAUGCAAGUCGAGCGAACGGACGAGAAGCUUGCUUCUCUGAUGUUAGCGGCGGACGGGUGAGUAACACGUGGAUAACCUACCUAUAAGACUGGGAUAACUUCGGGAAACCGGAGCUAAUCCCGGAUAAUAUUUUGAACCGCAUGGUUCAAAAGUGAAAGACGGUCUUGCUGUCACUUAUAGAUGGAUCCGCGCUGCAUUAGCUAGUUGGUAAGGUAACGGCUUACCAAGGCAACGAUGCAUAGCCGACCUGAGAGGGUGAUCGGCCACACUGGAACUGAGACACGGUCCAGACGCCUACGGGAGGCAGCAGUAGGGAAUCUUCCGCAAUGGGCGAAAGCCUGACGGAGCAACGCCGCGUGAGUGAUGAAGGUCUUCGGAUCGUAAAACUCUGUUAUUAGGGAAGAACAUAUGUGUAAGUAACUGUGCACAUCUUGACGGUACCUAAUCAGAAAGCCACGGCUAACUACGUG
Molecule: ribosomal RNA, 497 nt
Filed under: uncultured bacterium
Lineage: Bacteria
Description: partial 16S ribosomal RNA
Rfam family: Bacterial small subunit ribosomal RNA
Source: RNAcentral